Molecule: non-coding RNA, 29 nt
Filed under: Rattus norvegicus (Norway rat)
Lineage: Eukaryota; Metazoa; Chordata; Mammalia; Rodentia; Muridae
Source: RNAcentral
UGGUAUCUGGCCUCCAAUCUUCGAGAUGC